Molecule: non-coding RNA, 216 nt
Organism: Vicia faba (fava bean)
Lineage: Eukaryota; Viridiplantae; Streptophyta; Magnoliopsida; Fabales; Fabaceae
Source: the annotation of a GenBank genome assembly
AUGCUUGUAAUCAACUUCCACAAGAUGGAAACUUUAAGUCCAGGUACCAUUAAUGCAGACAAGUUGUUAAGAGUUAAAUUUCAGGAUACGUCAGAUGGUGUCUCAUUUGACAUUGAUCUCAACUCUACCAUACAGAAGGAGUUUCUAGCACAGCAAUCAAGUCAAUCUGUUGGAGGGGUAAUGCAUUGUACUUGCGAGAAACCAUCGCAUGUAUAA